Long non-coding RNA from Pieris napi, 1202 nucleotides. RefSeq lists it as uncharacterized. The transcript is spliced from 2 exons. The record is from RefSeq and is a predicted model, not a curated record. NCBI's taxonomy places the organism in Eukaryota, Metazoa, Arthropoda, Insecta, Lepidoptera, Pieridae.
UUCAAUUUAUUGUUAUUUAUGUAUUCAUUUAUUUUAUUAUUGCAAUAACUAGAAAUUUACGAGUAACCUUUAGAAAAUGUAUUAAUUAUUUAAAGAUGACAAUAAUUUUAUUACGUAGAACGGAUCGCAAUGUUUUGACAACAGCAACAGAGCACUUGUAUAAACUAUCAACAAUUGAAAAUUUUAAACCACUUUUUCUCUUUUCUGUUUCUGUUUCCAACCAAAAUCCUUCCAUCCUGUACGGUGAGAAUGAAUUCAAAAGAAGGAACCGUAUUUUGAAACACACGGUAUUAAAUGUGAUCCUGCCGCUGAUCAUUACAAACUUGCAACCUCAUAACAACAGAGGAUCGCCAAACCUACCGCAAUUGCAAAUACUUAUUGCAUUAAGGCAUAAAAAUGCAACUGGAUGUUUUCAGAUGGUGUGUGGUGAUCUGAAAGCCAGCAUAAGCCAAUCUACAGUCUGUUUAAUUAUAAAUAAAGUCUCUGCAGAGUUGAGUAAAUUACUUCCUAGAUUUGUAAAUUUUCCAAGAAAUAUGAACACAGCCAAAACGAAGUUUGAAGAAUUAGGAAGAUCUAAUACUCACCAUGGCCUAAACAGUAUAAUCGGAGCUAUUGACUGCACCCAUAUAAAAAUUAAUAGACCCAAAGGUAUCGCUCACUCUGAAGCAUACAGAAAUAAAAAAGGGUAUUUUUCUGUAAAUGUGCAAGCAAUAAUAGAGCCUGAUAUGGAAAUAUUUGCUAUAGUGACUAGGUGGCCUGGCAGUUCACACAACAGCAGGAUAUUUAGAAAAUGCCUGUUUUAGUAGGUGACAGCGGUUAUCCAGCACUUAACUUCAUGUUAACAACACUUUUAAAUCCAAUGACAAGAGCUGACAAUAUUUAUAAUUAUUCUCAAAUAAGAACUAGGCAUAUUUUUUAAAGAUUUUUCGGAGUGUGAAAAAGGAAAUUUCCAUGGUUACAGCUAGGACUACAGUCAAAAUUGACAAAUACUAGUUAUAUAUAAUUAUAGCUUGUGCUGUAUUGCAUAAUAUAGGUACAUAUACAGAGAGGGGAUGCUUAUGAUGAUGGUGAUCUUGCUGACAGCAGAAGUUGAGUAACACAGAAACAAUGAAAGAUCUCCUACAGGUCUAGCAUUCCGGCAAUCUGUGAUUGCUCAAUUUAACUAGGUAAUUUGUUUGGUAAUAAAGAAUAUCAAAACAAAA